GAUGAAGAACGUAGCGAAAUGCGAUAAGUAAUGUGAAUUGCAGAAUUCAGUGAAUCAUCGAAUCUUUGAACGCACAUUGCGCCCGUCAGUAUUCUGGCGGGCAUGCCUGUUCGAGCGUCAUUACGCCCCUCAAGUCCCCUGUGGACUUGGUGUUGGGGAUCGGCGAGGCUGGUUUUCCAGCACAGCCGUCCCCUAAAUCUAGUGGCGGUCUCGCUGUAGCUUCCUCUGCGUAGUAGCACACCUCGCACUGGGAAACAGCGCGGCCACGCCGUUAAACCCCCAACUUCUGAACGUUUGACCUCGGAUCAGGUAGGAAUACCCGCUGAACUUAAGCAUAUCAAUAAGCGGAGGA
This 352-nucleotide unclassified non-coding RNA is filed under the name soil metagenome. RNAcentral's name for it is "partial contains 5.8S ribosomal RNA, internal transcribed spacer 2, and large subunit ribosomal RNA". The stretch from base 1 to 120 matches the Rfam family "5.8S ribosomal RNA", at positions 35 to 154 of the family's 154-position model. The record is from RNAcentral.